CAGCAGCCGCGGGAAUACGGAGGGUGCGAGCGUUAAUCGGAUUUACUGGGCGUAAAGCGUGCGUAGGCGGCUUCUUAAGUCGGAUGUGAAAUCCCUGAGCUUAACUUAGGAAUUGCAUUCGAUACUGGGAAGCUAGAGUAUGGGAGAGGAUGGUAGAAUUCCAGGUGUAGCGGUGAAAUGCGUAGAGAUCUGGAGGAAUACCGAUGGCGAAGGCAGCCAUCUGGCCUAAUACUGACGCUGAGGUACGAAAGCAUGGGGAGCAAACAGGAUUAGAUACCCCCGUAGUCCCUGUCUCUUAUAC
Molecule: ribosomal RNA, 301 nt
Filed under: uncultured bacterium
Lineage: Bacteria
Description: partial 16S ribosomal RNA
Rfam family: Bacterial small subunit ribosomal RNA
Source: RNAcentral